This 253-nucleotide ribosomal RNA is filed under the name uncultured bacterium. Its description in RNAcentral is "partial 16S ribosomal RNA". It matches the Rfam family "Bacterial small subunit ribosomal RNA", at positions 524 to 776 of the family's 1533-position model. The record is from RNAcentral.
UACGUAGGGACCGAGCGUUGUCCGGAAUCAUUGGGCGUAAAGAGCGUGUAGGCGGCCACUUAAGUCCUGCGUGAAAUCUUGCGGCUCAACCGCAAGCGGUCGUGGGAAACUGGGUGGCUAGAGUGCGGGAGAGGAGAGCGGAACUCCUGGUGUAGCGGUGGAAUGCGCAGAUAUCAGGAAGAACACCGGUGGCGAAGGCGGCUCUCUGGGCCUUACCUGACGCUGAGGAGCGAAAGCGUGGGUAGCGAACAGG